This is a long non-coding RNA of Perca fluviatilis (European perch), 383 nucleotides long. RefSeq lists it as uncharacterized. NCBI's taxonomy places the organism in Eukaryota, Metazoa, Chordata, Actinopteri, Perciformes, Percidae. The record is from RefSeq and is a predicted model, not a curated record. The transcript is spliced from 4 exons.
CCGCUUGCGCAUGCGCAAAGUGGGUCUGUGUCGUCAUCGUCAGGCUAGCUUAACCUGGACCGGUUCGGACUGAAUUUGGGGGUAACAGCUCAAACGAGAUUUGGAAGAACAUGACCUGAAAGUCUCCUUCAACGAACUAUGACAAAUAAAAUGAUGGCCAUAAUGAGCCUCAGAGGAAGAAGUGGGAAGGUUGCCUUCAUGAAGACUCAUCUCUACAAGAUAAUCUGUGACGCUGUCUUGAGCUCAUAUGAUAAAACUACAACAAAAGUAGACAAAUACAUGGCCAAAUACUUGAUAUAUGCACCAGAGAGGACGGGUGGCAGUGGCAGAAAGAAGUAACAAGAAGGGAAGAUUUAACCAGCAGUGUUCAAUAUUGCCCAAUG